GGCGAAGUAAGUUGAAUUGGGCGAAGUCAGUCGGUAGAACGUGAGACUCUUAAUCUCAGGGUUGUGGGUUUGAGCCUCACGUUGGGCA
Non-coding RNA from Podarcis lilfordi (Lilford's wall lizard), 88 nucleotides. The record is from the annotation of a GenBank genome assembly. Lineage: Eukaryota; Metazoa; Chordata; Lepidosauria; Squamata; Lacertidae.